This 150-nucleotide unclassified non-coding RNA is filed under the name Oryza sativa (Asian cultivated rice). Its description in RNAcentral is "partial microRNA MIR468n-23 precursor". Lineage: Eukaryota; Viridiplantae; Streptophyta; Magnoliopsida; Poales; Poaceae. The record is from RNAcentral.
AGUACUCUCUCCAUCCCAAAAUAAACCAACCCCGUACUAGGAUGUGACACAUUCUAGUACAACAAAUCUAAACAUAGAGUAUGUCCUGAUUCGUUGUAGUAGAAUGUGUCAUAUCCUAGUACGAGCUAGGUUGAUUUAUGUUGGGACAGG